GUAGGUGAACCUGCGGAAGGAUCAUUAUAGAGAUUGGUUGGGUAACACCUUCCAAACCUCCCACCCUAUGUUUACAUUACCUUUGUUGCUUUGGUAGGCCCGUCUUUGGACCGCCGGCUUCGGCUGGCCAGUGCCUACCAGAGGAUCCAAAACUCUGUUUAAUUGUAUUGUCUGAGUACUAUAUAAUAGUUAAAACUUUCAACAACGGAUCUCUUGGUUCUG
This 222-nucleotide unclassified non-coding RNA is filed under the name rhizosphere metagenome. RNAcentral describes it as "partial ribosomal RNA internal transcribed spacer region". The record is from RNAcentral.